AUGAACGCAUUCCUCGCACAAGAACAAGCUGACAGUAGCACUUCCCCACAAACAACCGUGACGACCGAAGAGACGACAACGAAGAAACUUAGAGGGAAAGUACGUGCUCGACAGAGGUACCAGGGUAGAACGUCGACAACCGAGACUCCAGAGGAACAAAAUUACCCCAAGAACUUCCGCACGCAAGAACAAGCCGAUCGAACCAGCCAAAACUACCCUGUUUACAGACCCACAGAAGCUGCAGUUACCGAAGAAACCGCCUCCUCGGAGAGCACCCCAUCAAGAGUGGACAAGUACAACAGAUUCAAUCGAAGGAGGCCCCUACGACCAGCAUCUACUUCAACCACCACUUCAAGCUCUGAAGAGGUUUCAACCGCUGCAACCAGGACUCGAGUGAAAGCAACCAGAGCACCACCAACAGCCUCAAGAGCUUUAAGUGGCCGAACCAGAUCGAGAAGGCCCGGCACCUUGACCACCGAGGCUCCAUCAACCACCUCAACUACCGAAUCUACUUCGACGGAAAGUUUAGACUGGGGCACGUACGUCAAUAGUUUUGCCCCCUCAGCAGGGGCCAACGAGAUUGCGAGUCCGUAUGAUGACAAAUCCAUAACCUUCCACAAUAUCGAAUCCCACAGGAGAAACCCCAGCUACAACAAGGUGAAAAAUGAUGGUUACUGGAACAACGGUGUUACGAUCCAACAAAGCGAAGGAGUUGAGGUGAACCCAGAGACAUUCGCACCCACUGAGUCCACUGCUGCGUCGCGGUCUUACACGAGAGCCGACACGGAGAGCAGCGCGACAACCAGAGGGCUGGACAGGAAGGCACUCUACAGACAGAGGCUCAGACAAGGCGCUGUUCAGAAUGACGAAGCAAAUGUUGCAGCUCAACAGAAUCAGCUGAGGAGGGCUAAUGUGCAUAAGGAGAGAAUUGCGGCUAAGAAGUUGGCUGAAGCCCGAGACCGGGAUGCUACUAGCUAUGAUGGAAACAGCUUACAAAGCGAGGGACGUCAAAGAGGAGAGGAGGAUAGUCAACAGAACAGAGAAACAAGCUCGCAGAGUGAAGGAAGACAGAGAGGUGACGGUUUUGACAAUCAGCAGAACUUUGAAACGAACAGGGACUCAGACGCCGAGCAACAGAGGAACACUGAAUCAGCCGCUGGUAAAAAGGCUGUAGUUGGACGCAGGCGAGGCGCCUGGGUGCGAGUCCGCGUAAAGAAGCCGCAAGACGUGUUCGAAACCGCCGAGUCUCAGAGCUUUGCUAAACUCUCCGGAAACGCGCUGAAGAACAUCGAAAAACCCCAGCCGGAAGCCGGGAAGGAACAGUACGUCAAACAAGUCUCCGUGGACCAAGUAUCUCUAGUCGCAGACUCCGCUCAAACCAACCCGAUCCCGGAGGAACAGAAACCCGAAGAAUCAUCACCACAGCCGGAGACACCGGAAGUAACUGCGCAAGACUCGGCCCCGGAAGUCACCCCCGAAGACAUCAGCCCUCAGGUGUUCCAGAAGGACAUCGGGGACAUGAUCCGGCAGAUCAUCAACGGGGAGAGCGAGGUCGACGAGGCCGAGAGCCACAGGGACCAAGAGUCGACGGAGGUGACCGACGAUCGACAGGUCAGCGAGAUGCUUGUCGCCACGACGACCCCGGUCGCGCCGAAGAACGUCUCAGUGGCGGCGACGACGACGGAACUGGAGGCGGAGACGACGCGGCAUCCGGAGGAGGAAGUAACGACGUACGCCACAACUAUCGAGCCGGAAGCCGAGAGGAGCCGGCCCACCGAACCCAUCACGAGGAGGGCCGUCCCCACGGCGACCACGACUGAGAUCUCCUUGGAGACAGAGAUCUGCUACAAGGGAAGGUGCGUUAAGAGUAAAAAGACUAAAGCAACUGACUCCUGCCUUCGGAAUAGAAUGUAAAUCUGUAGAGGAGCCCAUUUGCAAAAUAUUAAAUUUUGGGUCUGAAAGGUCUCUCUCCAUCUCGUUCUCUCCUUUUCUCUGUCUCCUCAUAUUAUGACCCCCGCCAUGUAGACGAGAUGUACCGCUGCGUUAUGGAAGGACAAUUGUUCCGAAGGGAUCAGCUAAAAAACGAGAGGGACGUGUUUAAUUCCUUAAAAAGAUGCAUAAAUUCUGCAGAUCAUUAAUUUCUUCGGGAGGAAAAUCACUGCGCAUUAUUCCUUUGGAAUGCUGUAUUGAAAACUUAUGUCGACCAACUGCUUUGUGAAAUUAGGAAUCUGGAAAAUUUGAGCAGCACUAGAAUGAUAUAAUCAGCCACUGAUUUUAACUAUCUAUUUAAAUACAUAGCACGUGUUUCGCUGACACUGAUAAAAUACUCAAUAUGUUCGUUUCAUAUCGUACUGCGGGAAAAAUCGUCGAUUUUAGUGAGAUGAGAGAAUGAGCUAUUCGUGUAUCCCUUGCUCAAUGAUCACCUCUUACUUUUGUUAAAAAAAGGAGAGUCGAGGAACUAAAGAAAAAAAGAGACCGAUGAAAAGAAAACUAAAGAAAAGAAGUCUAAGAGUCUAGAAAAAAAAAGAAUUAAGUAUCAUUCUAUGGUGAAAUACUGGGCAAAAAUGAGCCCUAACACAUGGAUUCUUUAAUCGCACUGUUUCAUACCAUUCUGUGUCAAGGAAUAAACACUUUUCCCAUUUAAUUAAAAAACUUACAGGUGAAAAAACGGGUACCAUUGGACAGUUAUGGUAGCCUCUAUGCAGGCUUGAUGUUGCUGAAUACAUAUUAGGAUAGUAGAUUCUUUUAAACACUCAAAGUUUAAAAAAUGUUAAAGUCAAAAAGAAGGAAAGAAAAAAAUCAUGUUAACAAUGAGCUCCUUCCAGUUGAUUUUUCGUUGGUAAAAUUUUGAGGUCAGAAUUUUCUUCACAGAAUGCAUUGAUGUGGUGCAGUGACAUGAGAUUUUAAUACCCCUAUAUUUUCCUGUGACAAAAUCAUUUACUCAACUACCCUCUGAUGGUAGUGGAUUGACUUUAGUCUGUAGAUCUUUCUCUGAACCUUCGAUUCCCAUCAGAAUACAUCAAUUUAGGAGAUUCACAAAUUAUUUAAAAUAUUUCGUGUAUGAGUAAGAAUAUUAUUUCGUACUUAUACCGAAUAAUCUAUACUCCAGUUGGGUAACAUUAUACUCCAAGAAACCAAAGCCAUCAGAUCACCUAAUUUUUGUCAUACACUAAAAUAUGGUGAGUCACUUGGUUUUUUUAGUUUUUAACUUUACACUCAAGUCUUUGAUUCCACUCACAUCAUGAUAAGACCUACCGUGUGAUUAAAUAUUUGUUUAAGAACUGAUCGUCAAGUCAAAUAUGUUUCAAAUUAAGUAUGUAAAUAUGUAGUACGUAUGUUAAUGUUACUUUGAUUUUAAGUAUUUAUAAUAAGUAAUUCAAUGUACUGUUUUGAAGAUUUCCAUACCUUCACUUUUAAAAAUCUGCAAUCAACUUAGAUAAAUAACAAUGCCAUUUGAUGAAUAAGGAGCCAUAAAGAAGAGUCGAAAAGGUAAGAGAAAAAUAAUUCAGGUAACAACGAAAUUAUCACCUGGAGACUUCAAUUUGGAAAGACUUUCAUACAAAUAUCAGGUUCUCUACGAUCAAAAUUUCUCAUCCGCAUCAAAAUGAAUCAUCGCCAAAUGUAAGAGAAUUAGGCGAGUUAAAAGCAGAGUUGAAGUUAUCAUUUCGUCAUCUCAAUAGAUUUUUGAAAUUUGAAUUUUUUGGUCCUCAGGGUCUCCAUGAGACUUAGUGACCAUACACCUGCAAUAAAGGUGCUCUACAAUCUACAAGUAAGAGCAGAUUCGCGGCUUCGGCGAUUCAAUUUCGAACCAUACUGCCGUGCUAAGGAAGAACGCCGUAUGAGCCUUCAGACAUUGCCAAGUUUCCUCCGAUACAAACCGAAUUUACUGGGAAAAUUGCGAAUAUUAUUUUCCAAAAUUUUCAGACAAUUGUGUACGCAAUUUAAUCUAAAAUAUCUGGAAAUUUCGAUGGAAAACAUAUGAGAAUGUGGUCAAAAAUACAUGUUUUAUAGAGGGGAAUUUGGCAACUCUCGUAAGUUCAUACGACUUUUUCCCUUAGCACGGCAGCAUAGGCAAGGAUGCCGUAACAACGGAUAACAGCUGAAAAUUGAAUUGUUCGAGGUCAAAGCACACCGAAGACCAACUGCUAGUCAACAAAUGACCUACAUCGCCCCACUAGGUUCCCGACACCAUUCUUGAACGUGAACGUUCAAUGCUCUCUGCGAGAUAACGUUCACUGCACUCUCAUUCAAGAAGUCUCAAUUCAGGAUCUGUAAGAAUCCAGAUACCAUUUAAAAAUGUAUUCCAACAAGAAAAAAACUUACAUCAUGGUCAUACUAUGGCGAUUUUUGGCCCUCAAAUUUUAGACAAUGAGGAGACGUCAUGAUUUAAAGGCCCAGUUGAGUCAUUUUGGAAAGGAAGGGUAUAGAUAGGACCCGCCCUGCGGGCCGAUUAUUAAAAUUGAUAGACAAAGCUAUAGACAAAGAAGACGCAAGAAGUAUACAGCGAUCCUAUUGGUUGAAAUGGGUAGUUCUUAUAGACUAAGGGAGAAAAUGAUGGACCAACUAUCGGGUCUCUUGUGGGUUGCCGUUAGUUAGUCUGUAACCUACGUUCUUUGUCCAUUGCAACCAUCCACCUACACCAAUAGGAUCCCUCCAUAUCCUUUUUGUCUUCUUUGUCUAUCAAUUUCAAUAAUCACUGAUCAGCCCGCUGGCUGAAUUCCUCAACUAUACGAUUUUUUCUUAUUGAAAGGUCUACAUUUUAUGGAAUGCAUCAUUAUUGGUUAUUUUCGGUCUCUUACAAGUUUAAUACUGGCCGAGGGUCUGAGGCCAGUGCCGGCGAAAAAUGCUGAUUUUUCGGCAUUCCAACGCAAACCCGCAUUUUGUCAAAAUCUACCUUUCAGACCCAUUUUUAGGCCAGUAGCAGAUGUAAAAAGAAACCGAAUUGUGAUGAAUUCCUCAGAGUAAAGAAAUUAAAUAAGCAAAUAAUUGUAGAGUUAAUGGAAUUGAGCUGGUGGGUCUAGAAACAGCCCUUAUCGAUGUCCCUGUUUUUACUUUCCUUCCUUAUCGUGAUGUUAGAUUUGGACGUAUUUCUGCCAAACGGAACUAUGUGCAUUAAGACGUGAACCAUGUUGUUCAUACAUUCUCAUGGGUCUCAAGGCUCAUGUCCUUUUGCACAUAGUUCCGUUUGGCAGAAAUACGUCCAUUUGAGGCUGAGGAUGGCGAAAAUUUCAAAAUUUCACGGCGAAGCACAUCGACAAAAAACGCCCAAAGUAAAACAUUCAACCUUAUGAUACACUUAUGCCACCUUGAUUUUUACUGUAUUUUCUUGUCCACCGGUGGGCGUGAUUUCAAAGUACUAAGAGGUGUGUCAGUGUGACACAUGCCAAGCUGUGACUCAGUGGCGAGGUGAGAAUGAUCGAUUAUCGAUAUUUCCUCCAUUUGAAGCUAUAGUAAAGAAUCGAUUAUUCUGGUGUUCGUUGAGACCCAACCAUGUUCAUCGAUGCUUUUCCAUGAGUUUAGGUGGCAGAUCAAUCGAUAUAUUGCAAAGCACGCUACGCCACUGCUGCUAAAUUCAGAAAUUAGAGCUCACGGCAUCCGAUGAACGAGGUGGAAAACCAACCGAAAGUUAAACUCAUUGGUCCGACUAGAAAGUGAAUGAGUUAUACCUGAUGCCAUACUUAUUUAAAGAUACAAUUAAUUAUUAACAAAUUAAUGAAACUUGGCGCCCUCGCGGGUUACCGUAGCCUCUAAUCGUACGAGUUUCGAUGAAAUAAGAACCUCCGAACUCAAGAUUUUGUUACUUUUCUUUAGAUGAAACGAGUCUCUCUUUUUCUAAAUUUUGAUAAGUUAUUAGAUUGUGAGUGUGAAUGAGGACACCUUACACGUCAAAAGGGCUAAGUGCAUUACGAUUGUGUUGAGAGAAAAUUACAUUAACGUAAAUUACGUAGUUACAGUUACGUAAGUUAUGUCAGUUACAUUACGUAAAUAACAUUUACGUUCUGAAUGCACGUUGCAUUAAAUAAUGAUUGUCAAGUUAAGGAGAUACAUCUAAAUCAUAAACACUCAAUUUUGUGAGGUGUAUGUUCAUGCUCAUGCUCCAUGCGAUGUUUUCGAAUUAAAACCUUUGGUAAAAUAGUUGAUCGAUAGAUCUUAAAAAUAAUACGAAAACCCAUUUUGCGCAAAAAUAAAUACAAAAAUAAAAUGAAAUGUGUUAUUUUCACUCGGUGUUUUCGACUCUGUGAUGCACCUAGUCCUAUUGGCCUGUAAGGAACUCAAAUUAUUUAUUUAUUUAGGUAUUGUAUGAAUUGUACAUUCGCUAAUAUUAGAACAAUGUAUAUUUUAGUUAAUUUGUGGUGCUCAAUAUAUUAGGCCGGGAGGUUGCAUUGGUGCGCCGAUUAAAACAAUUCCCAAUAGAAGUUCAAAUGUGUCGGCUGAAAAGGUAUCGUAUUUUCCCAUUCUUACGACGCAUGCGAGUGGGUUUUUGACUUCUUGUUAGUUUAUUGUUAAGUACCAGCAAGAAAUAUGUAUACGGUAAUUGUUUUUGAAAUUUAGGUUCAAAACGAAAUAAUAAUAAUGAAAAAGAGAAUAUGCUGGCUCUGCUGAUAUUAAAAAAUUACCAUGUUAGUAAGAUCCAUUCGCCAGCUUUAAAAACCGUACUAAGCCCAACUACAUGUCCAGAUAAUUAAUUUAUGUAUUAUAAUUUUUAAAGAAAUUAUCUUAAGAUGUAAAUUAAAAUAUCGAAUAUAUUUUUUUUCUAAUUGUACUUGAUGUUUUUUUAUUCAAUGCACUUCAUUGAUGAUCCCUGGGUAAAAUCAACAUAUUCAAAGAGGCCUACGGAUUUUUUGAAGUCGACAAA
Molecule: long non-coding RNA, 6856 nt
Filed under: Bemisia tabaci
Lineage: Eukaryota; Metazoa; Arthropoda; Insecta; Hemiptera; Aleyrodidae
Description: lncRNA ENSSSA2NGG013350
Source: RNAcentral